UUCCUUGUGUGACGAGUGGGACACGUGAGAGUAGUGUGGGGAGAUGUGCCAGAUAGGGGGGGAUCCCCUGUGGAAAGGGGGGCUAAUACCGCAUAACCUCACAAGACCAAAGAGGGAGACCCUCGGCCCUCUCUCUAUCAUAUGCCCCCAUGGGGUUUUAUCUAGUGCGGGGGGUAGGGGCCCCCCUACGACAAUAUCCCUAUGUGGUCAGAGAAGAAGACCACCCACUGUGGAUGUGACACACGGCCCACACUCCUACGGGGGGCAACAGUGGAAAAUAGUGCACAGUGGGCGCACGCGUGAUGCACCCGUGCCGCGUGUAUGAAAAGGGUCUUCGGUUUGUAAAGUAUUUUCCGCGGAGAAGAGGGCGGUGGGUUUAAUUCCCGCCGAUAGUGACUUUCCCCGCAAAAAAAACCCCGGAUAUCUCCGUGCCAACCCCCGCGGUAAUACAGAGUGUGCAAGCUUUACUCAGAUAUAGUGGGUAUAGAGCACACGCGCGCGCUGUGAUGACUCAGAUGUGAUCUCCCCGGUCUUACCGUGGAAUCUGCUUUUAAAUGUGACGCGCGUGACUCUCGUAGAGGGGGAUAGAACUCGAUGUGUAGCUGUAAUAUGCAUAGAUAUCUGGGGAAAACAGGGGGGGCGAGCGCGCCCCCUGUGCAAA
RNAcentral lists this ribosomal RNA (661 nucleotides) under Microbacterium paraoxydans. RNAcentral describes it as "partial 16S ribosomal RNA". It matches the Rfam family "Bacterial small subunit ribosomal RNA", at positions 80 to 737 of the family's 1533-position model. Lineage: Bacteria; Bacillati; Actinomycetota; Actinomycetes; Micrococcales; Microbacteriaceae. The record is from RNAcentral.